GAAAGUAAGAUUAAUACCCGGCGGUCUCGGACGGCCGCAUGACUGUCCGAGUGAAGAUUUAUCGGUAUGAGAUGGCGAUGCGUCCCAUUAGCUUGUUGGUGAGGUAACGGCUCACCAAGGCAUCGAUGGGUAGGGGUUCUGAGAGGAAGGUCCCCCACAUUGGAACUGAGACACGGUCCAAACUCCUACGGGAGGCAGCAGUGAGGAAUAUUGGUCAAUGGACGAAAGUCUGAACCAGCCAAGUAGCGUGCAGGACGACGGCCCUCUGGGUUGUAAACUGCUUUUAGUUGGGAAUAAAAAGAGGGACGUGUCCCUUAUUGUAUGUACCAUCAGAAAAAGGACCGGCUAAUUCCGUGCCAGCAGCCGCGGUAAUACGGAAGGUCCAGGCGUUAUCCGGAUUUAUUGGGUUUAAAGGGAGCGCAGGCGGCGGCGUAAGUCAGUUGUGAAAUCGUGCGGCUUAACCGUGCAAUUGCAGUUGAUACUGCGUCGCUUGAGUGCACACAGGGAUGUUGGAAUUCAUGGUGUAGCGGUGAAAUGCUUAGAUAUCAUGAAGAACUCCGAUCGCGAAGGCAUAUGUCCGGAGUGCAACUGACGCUGAGGCUCGAAAGUGUGGGUAUCAAACAGGAUUAGAUACCCUGGUAGUCCACACAGUAAACGAUGAAUACUCGCGGUUGGUUCGUUAGAAUCAGCCGC
RNAcentral lists this ribosomal RNA (693 nucleotides) under uncultured bacterium. RNAcentral's name for it is "bacterial SSU rRNA". It matches the Rfam family "Bacterial small subunit ribosomal RNA", at positions 153 to 847 of the family's 1533-position model. The record is from RNAcentral.